UUACAAGCCUCAGGACACUGGCCUAAAUAGUCUAAUCCAGGUGAGCACCUUGGUAUAGCGCGGAGUCCCACGCUGACCUUACUCAGUAUCUGGAUAACUAACUACAACAAUGGUGUAGCGCGGAAUCCCACGCUGACCUCUAAAUUUUGUUGUCCUGAAUCUUAUAAUACCCAAUAUACCUUGUUAUGAAUUUAAAGUAUGCUAUCUU
Molecule: long non-coding RNA, 208 nt
Filed under: Mytilus galloprovincialis (Mediterranean mussel)
Lineage: Eukaryota; Metazoa; Mollusca; Bivalvia; Mytilida; Mytilidae
Source: RNAcentral